RNAcentral lists this long non-coding RNA (458 nucleotides) under Homo sapiens (human). Its description in RNAcentral is "HSALNT0195885". Lineage: Eukaryota; Metazoa; Chordata; Mammalia; Primates; Hominidae. The record is from RNAcentral.
GGUUAACUGACUGAGGGGCCAGGGUCAGAGAAAAGGGUAUCUUUUCUCCCUGGUCACAAGGCUGUAAGUAUGGAAGCCCAGCAUCAAAGAGCCAUGCCCCCACCUAAGAAAGAAGUUGUUCUAAGGAAAAUGAAACCAGUAUACAGACAGCAGGAUGGUGAGCUCCAGGAAGAAAAGGAUCAUCAUUUAUCCUUCCAUGCUGUGUCUUUAGAACCUAGUGUGGUGCCCAGCACAUAGAAGAUCUGCAAGAAAUACAUCUACCAGCUGGGUGCAGUUGAACAAAAUCAUUACAGGAUUAGCAGUUUUCUGACCCACUUACUAAAAAGAAGCUGAAUCACUGAAUUGAGACCCCAGGGAAAUGCAGAUUUAUACCUUUGAUGUAUUUCUUGAUUUUUCUUAAAUUAAAUUCUAUAAUCAGUUUUUGAGUCUUUGCCAUCUAUCUUUUAAUUGGGUGAUUU